Molecule: ribosomal RNA, 481 nt
Filed under: uncultured bacterium
Lineage: Bacteria
Description: partial 16S ribosomal RNA
Rfam family: Bacterial small subunit ribosomal RNA
Source: RNAcentral
GAUGAACGCUGGCGGCGUGCUUAACACAUGCGAGUCGAACGAAGCAUUUGCGACAGAUUUUUUCGGAAUGAAGUUGCUUAUGACUGAGUGGCGGACGGGUGAGUAACGCGUGGGUAACCUGCCUUGUACUGGGGGAUAGCAGCUGGAAACGGCUGGUAAUACCGCAUAAGCGCACAAUGUUGCAUGACAUGGUGUGAAAAACUCCGGUGGUAUAGGAUGGACCCGCGUCUGAUUAGCUAGUUGGUGAGAUAACAGCCCACCAAGGCGACGAUCAGUAGCCGACCUGAGAGGGUGACCGGCCACAUUGGGACUGAGACACGGCCCAGACUCCUACGGGAGGCAGCAGUGGGGAAUAUUGCACAAUGGAGGAAACUCUGAUGCAGCGACGCCGCGUGAGUGAAGAAGUAAUUCGUUAUGUAAAGCUCUAUCAGCAGGGAAGAUAGUGGCGGUACCUGACUAAGAAGUUCCGGCUAAAUACGUG